CCUACGGGCGGCUGCAGUGGGGAAUAUUGGACAAUGGGCGAAAGCCUGAUCCAGCCAUGCCGCGUGUGUGAAGAAGGCCUUCGGGUUGUAAAGCACUUUCAGUGGGGAAGAAAGCCUUGGGGCUAAUACCCUCGAGGAAGGACAUCACCCACAGAAGAAGCACCGGCUGAACUCCGUGCCAGCAGCCGCGGUAAUACGGAGGGUGCGAGCGUUAAUCGGAAUUACUGGGCGUAAAGCGCGCGUAGGCGGUCUGAUAAGCCGGUUGUGAAAGCCCCGGGCUCAACCUGGGAACGGCAUCUGGAACUGUCAGGCUAGAGUGCAGGAGAGGAAGGUAGAAUUCCCGGUGUAGCGGUGAAAUGCGUAGAGAUCGGGAGGAAUACCAGUGGCGAAGGCGGCCUUCUGGACUGACACUGACGCUGAGGUGCGAAAGCGUGGGUAGCAAACAGGAUUAGAUACCCCAGUAGUC
Molecule: ribosomal RNA, 466 nt
Filed under: Vreelandella stevensii
Lineage: Bacteria; Pseudomonadati; Pseudomonadota; Gammaproteobacteria; Oceanospirillales; Halomonadaceae
Description: partial 16S ribosomal RNA
Rfam family: Bacterial small subunit ribosomal RNA
Source: RNAcentral